This is a non-coding RNA of Oryza sativa Japonica Group (Japanese rice), 807 nucleotides long. The record is from RefSeq and is a predicted model, not a curated record. NCBI's taxonomy places the organism in Eukaryota, Viridiplantae, Streptophyta, Magnoliopsida, Poales, Poaceae.
UAGGGAGAUAUAUUAAUCAUCUAAAGACUAAAAACAAUUGAUGUGAUAUGACUUAAUUAGAGGAAAAAAAGAGAAAGAUAAUUUGGACCAUAGAUUAAUCAUUUAAGCACUGACUAAGUGAGAAUGACCUAUAUACUUUAUAUCAUAAAACAUAAUAAAGAUAUACAUUGAAACAUUAUGUGAAUUAUGUUGGAUGAUAAUUUAACAUGUUUGUAUUUUAAAAGCUCUUAAAUUAUAAAAACUAUAAAUAUAUAGCAUGUUUGUAUGAUGUUUAAAUGUGAUGAGUGUUAGUGGAUGAUGAUGUGACAUCUUGUUAAUUAGUGGAUGAUGAUGUGACAUCUUGUUAGUGGAUGAUGAUGUGGCAUCUUUGCAUGUCAAGCUUAAGAAGUUAGUGGGAGAUAACUUUAUAGGAAGAUAGGAUUGGUGCAAUAAGAGAAGAGGACUUUUUUCGGUCUUCUCGUCUCUUUGCGUCUCUCAUUUCCUCUCUCUCCAGUGCUCUGCCGCCGCCGGCAUGCCGAGCGGCUACGAUGGGGCCGUAUAUGUCAUGGAUAUUACCUGAAAGAAGCAUCUCUGUGCUUGGCUGCUCGCCAACUCGCCGUAGCCGUCGCAUAUACAAAUUACAGGCUGAUGGAGCAGCAGCAUGCGCAAGAAGUAGAGACAUGGGUUAUGUUACCGGAAUAAGUUCACUCUGACUCCCUUAACUAUUGACCAAAUCUGUUUCGUAUCCCUAAACCACACUAUCGGAUAACUCGACCCCUUAACUAUUAAAAUCAGUGCAAUUUGACUCUUUCGAUGGUUUCGCUGACA